AGUGAACGCUGGCGGUAGGCCUAACACAUGAAAGUCGAACGGCAGCACAGUAAGAGCUUGCUCUUACGGGUGGCGAGUGGCGGACGGGUGAGGCAUACAUCGGAAUCUACUUUUUCGUGGGGGAUAACGUAGGGAAACUUACGCUAAUACCGCAUACGACCUACGGGUGAAAGCAGGGGAUCUUCGGACCUUGCGCGAUUGAAUGAGCCGAUGUCGGAUUAGCUAGUUGGCGGGGUAAAGGCCCACCAAGGCGACGAUCCGUAGCUGGUCUGAGAGGAUGAUCCGCCACACUGGAUCUUAGACACUGACCAGACUCCUACGGGAUGCAGCGGUGCAGAAUUUGGGACAAUAGGAGCAAGCCUGAUCCAGGCAUACCGCCUGGGUGCUGUAGGGCUUCCGGUGCUAAGGCGCUUUUGUUGGGGAAGAAAUGCACCAGGCUGAUACCCCGCUGUACUGACAGUACCCAAAGAGUAAGCACCGGCUAUCUUCGUG
RNAcentral lists this ribosomal RNA (492 nucleotides) under uncultured bacterium. Its description in RNAcentral is "partial 16S ribosomal RNA". It matches the Rfam family "Bacterial small subunit ribosomal RNA", at positions 29 to 507 of the family's 1533-position model. The record is from RNAcentral.